CUAGCGACACGCAACUGCAGUGCCGAGCGACCUGCGGUCGCCACGGGUUCUAUUCCCACUCUAUACGAGUGGAAAUAGUCCCUGUUGGUCGGCAUGCCGACCAUCGGGAUAGUGAGCCGUCGGGCUCACGGAGGAGGUCAUGUGACUGUCGGUCAGCCGACCGGCGGUCACAUGACUACCACCCCUUCCAGCAGGACUACCAAAUCCACGGUUGGUUCUAUAUCGGAGGGGCUGAAGGGACCUUGUGACGUAUUGAGGGGAGGAGCUACAGGCGAACAGGGUACCCGAAAAGUUCGCUCGCCACGCUUCGGGCACGGUGGCUCGCUUCGCUCACCACCUAAUUACUAAAGGUAAUAGUUGGUGGCGUGGAUAGUAGAGGAACUAUCCCGCUGGCCUAGCUCCUCCCCCUUGCGUCGUAACUCCUCCCCUUUACGGAAAAGGUCCCUUAGCCCACUUGAUUCUAGCAUCUACCCUGGUCAUGUGUCAUCUAUCUCAUUAGCCAUGUAUGCCCCAGUGCUGCUGCAGUCUCUUCGCAAUCAGAAAUAUUGCAAUUCAGCCUGUGGCAUUUACCACAUUACAGAUGAAAGAAUGAGGAGUUGAUUGUGGCUGAUAUCUGAUGUUUAAAUGUCAGGUCACUGGGACAACGCCAAGAUUCUGCACAUGAUCAGUGUUUUGUAAUUCUGAACCCCCCAAGUGGUUAUGAAGACGCCAUACAUCAAUCAGUCCCAGCUGUGCAGACAUGUAAUCCAGAUUGAUCCCGGGAAGUCGGGUCCUCUGAGACGAGGCACCCUUCCUGUCCAAGACCAAAGAGGAUACCAUAUUCAUAUUCCCUCCAACAAUA
Pseudophryne corroboree (corroboree frog) is the source of this 841-nucleotide long non-coding RNA. RefSeq lists it as uncharacterized. The record is from RefSeq and is a predicted model, not a curated record. The transcript is spliced from 3 exons. NCBI's taxonomy places the organism in Eukaryota, Metazoa, Chordata, Amphibia, Anura, Myobatrachidae.